UGGAGCCGACCUUGAAAUACCACCCUUUAAUGUUUGAUGUUCUAACGUGGACCCGUAAUCCGGGUUGCGGACAGUGUCUGGUGGGUAGUUUGACUGGGGCGGUCUCCUCCUAAAGAGUAACGGAGGAGCACGAAGGUUGGCUAAUCCUGGUCGGACAUCAGGAGGUUAGUGCAAUGGCAUAAGCCAGCUUGACUGCGAGCGUGACGGCGCGAGCAGGUGCGAAAGCAGGUCAUAGUGAUCCGGUGGUUCUGAAUGGAAGGGCCAUCGCUCAACGGAUAAAAGGUACUCCGGGGAUAACAGGCUGAUACCGCCCAAGAGUUCAUAUCGACGGCGGUGUUUGGCACCUCGAUGUCGGCUCAUCACAUCCUGGGGCUGAAGUAGGUCCCAAGGGUAUGGCUGUUCGCCAUUUAAAGUGGUACGCGAGCUGGGUUUAGAACGUCGUGAGACAGUUCGGUCCCUAUCUGCCGUGGGCGCUGGAGAACUGAGGGGGGCUGCUCCUAGUACGAGAGGACCGGAGUGGACGCAUCACUGGUGUUCGGGUUGUCAUGCCAAUGGCACUGCCCGGUAGCUAAAUGCGGAAGAGAUAAGUGCUGAAAGCAUCUAAGCACGAAACUUGCCCCGA
This 622-nucleotide ribosomal RNA is filed under the name Salmonella enterica. Its description in RNAcentral is "partial 23S ribosomal RNA". It matches the Rfam family "Bacterial large subunit ribosomal RNA", at positions 2181 to 2802 of the family's 2925-position model. Lineage: Bacteria; Pseudomonadati; Pseudomonadota; Gammaproteobacteria; Enterobacterales; Enterobacteriaceae. RNAcentral also lists the same sequence under 4 other names. The record is from RNAcentral.